CGACUCUCGGCAACGGAUAUCUCGGCUCUCGCAUCGAUGAAGAACGUAGCGAAAUGCGAUACUUGGUGUGAAUUGCAGAAUCCCGUGAACCAUCGAGUCUUUGAACGCAAGUUGCGCCCGAAGCCUUCAGGCCGAGGGCACGUCUGCCUGGGUGUCACG
RNAcentral lists this ribosomal RNA (159 nucleotides) under Quiina blackii. RNAcentral describes it as "5.8S ribosomal RNA". It matches the Rfam family "5.8S ribosomal RNA". From Rfam's summary of the family: 5.8S ribosomal RNA (5.8S rRNA) is a component of the large subunit of the eukaryotic ribosome. It is transcribed by RNA polymerase I as part of the 45S precursor that also contains 18S and 28S rRNA. The record is from RNAcentral. RNAcentral also lists the same sequence under 5 other names. Lineage: Eukaryota; Viridiplantae; Streptophyta; Magnoliopsida; Malpighiales; Ochnaceae.